Molecule: ribosomal RNA, 210 nt
Filed under: uncultured bacterium
Lineage: Bacteria
Description: partial 16S ribosomal RNA
Rfam family: Bacterial small subunit ribosomal RNA
Source: RNAcentral
GUUCGGAUUGUAGUCUGCAACCCGACUACAUGAAGCUGGAAUCGCUAGUAAUCGCGGAUCAGAAUGCCGCGGUGAAUACGUUCCCGGGUCUUGUACACACCGCCCGUCACACCAUGGGAGUCGGAAAUGCCCGAAGUCUGUGACCCAACCUUAGGGAGGGAGCAGCCGAAGGCAGGUCGGAUGACUGGGGUGAAGUCGUAACAAGGUAUC